CACCACAGAAUGCAACAGAAGAAGGCUACAACCGGGUGAUUGUAGCAUGUUGUGUUCUGCACAACAUCUGCAAAGAGAGAGCAAUCCCUAUCAACGGCGAUGAUGAUUCUGAUGACGAGGAUGAUAAUGCAGAUGAUCAACUGGCACAGGGAGUGCAGCAACCUCCAAAUGCGGCGGGGAAUAGAUUCAGGGAUCAUGUUGCAGCAACAUAUUUCAGGCCAUGAUUUCCAUGCAGGUGCUGCAGUGACUGCAGCCGUUGUUGUUAGUGUUGUUGCUGCUACUACUUCCAGAACAGUUGACAGGGUAACUUGUGGACAUAUCCUGUACCGGCUGUAGUGGCUCCUCGCAC
Long non-coding RNA from Mya arenaria, 349 nucleotides. RefSeq lists it as uncharacterized. NCBI's taxonomy places the organism in Eukaryota, Metazoa, Mollusca, Bivalvia, Myida, Myidae. The record is from RefSeq and is a predicted model, not a curated record. The transcript is spliced from 3 exons.